UAGUAAUCUCUGGUGUUAAAUGUUCUAG
This 28-nucleotide non-coding RNA is filed under the name Mus musculus (house mouse). Lineage: Eukaryota; Metazoa; Chordata; Mammalia; Rodentia; Muridae. The record is from RNAcentral.